AGUAAAUAGAUACCCUGGUAGUCCACGCCGUAAACGAUGUCGACUUGGAGGUUGUGCCCUUGAGGCGUGGCUUCCGGAGCUAAACGCGUUAAGUCGACCGCCUGGGGAGUACGGCCGCAAGGUUAAAACUCAAAUGAAUUGACGGGGGCCCGCACAAGCGGUGGAGCAUGUGGUUUAAUUCGAUGCAACGCGAAGAACCUUACCUACUCUUGACAUCCAGAGAACUUAGCAGAGAUGCUUUGGUGCCUUCGGGAACUCUGAGACAGGUGCUGCAUGGCUGUCGUCAGCUCGUGUUGUGAAAUGUUGGGUUAAGUCCCGCAACGAGCGCAACCCUUAUCCUUUGUUGCCAGCGGUUAGGCCGGGAACUCAAAGGAGACUGCCAGUGAUAAACUGGAGGAAGGUGGGGAUGACGUCAAGUCAUCAUGGCCCUUACGAGUAGGGCUACACACGUGCUACAAUGGCGCAUACAAAGAGAAGCGACCUCGCGAGAGCAAGCGGACCUCAUAAAGUGCGUCGUAGUCCGGAUUGGAGU
RNAcentral lists this ribosomal RNA (532 nucleotides) under uncultured bacterium. Its description in RNAcentral is "bacterial SSU rRNA". It matches the Rfam family "Bacterial small subunit ribosomal RNA", at positions 774 to 1304 of the family's 1533-position model. The record is from RNAcentral.